GCCUGGAUGGCUCAGUCGGUUGAGCGUCUGACUCUUGGUUUCAGCAUGAUCUCAGGGUUGUGGGAUCGAGUCCCAUGUUGGGCU
RNAcentral lists this transfer RNA (84 nucleotides) under Ailuropoda melanoleuca (giant panda). It matches the Rfam family "tRNA". Rfam says of the family: Transfer RNA (tRNA) molecules are approximately 80 nucleotides in length. Their secondary structure includes four short double-helical elements and three loops (D, anti-codon, and T loops). The record is from Rfam by way of RNAcentral. Lineage: Eukaryota; Metazoa; Chordata; Mammalia; Carnivora; Ursidae.